CUGCGAUAAGCGCCGGUAAGGUGAUAUGAACCGUUAUAACCGGCGAUACCCGAAUGGGGAAACCCAGUGUGACUCGUCACACUAUCAUUAACUGAAUCCAUAGGUUAAUGAGGCGAACCGGGGGAACUGAAACAUCUAAGUACCCCGAGGAAAAGAAAUCAACCGAGAUUCCCCCAGUAGCGGCGAGCGAACGGGGAGGAGCCCAGAGCCUGAAUCAGCAUGUGUGUUAGUGGAAGCGUCUGGAAAGGCGCGCGAUACAGGGUGACAGCCCCGUACACAAAAGCGCAUGUGCUGUGAGCUCGAUGAGUAGGGCGGGACACGUGGUAUCCUGUCUGAAUAUGGGGGGACCAUCCUCCAAGGCUAAAUACUCCUGACUGACCGAUAGUGAACCAGUACCGUGAGGGAAAGGCGAAAAGAACCCCGGCGAGGGGAGUGAAAAAGAACCUGAAACCGUGUACGUACAAGCAGUGGGAGCACCCUUUGGGUGUGACUGCGUACCUUUUGUAUAAUGGGUCAGCGACUUAUAUUCUGUAGCAAGGUUAACCGAAUAGGGGAGCCGGAGGGAAACCGAGUCUUAAUUGGGCGUUAAGUUGCAGGGUAUAGACCCGAAACCCGGUGAUCUAGCCAUGGGCAGGUUGAAGG
This 642-nucleotide ribosomal RNA is filed under the name Salmonella enterica subsp. enterica serovar Enteritidis. Its description in RNAcentral is "partial 23S ribosomal RNA". It matches the Rfam family "Bacterial large subunit ribosomal RNA", at positions 66 to 751 of the family's 2925-position model. Lineage: Bacteria; Pseudomonadati; Pseudomonadota; Gammaproteobacteria; Enterobacterales; Enterobacteriaceae. The record is from RNAcentral.